Molecule: ribosomal RNA, 253 nt
Filed under: uncultured bacterium
Lineage: Bacteria
Description: partial 16S ribosomal RNA
Rfam family: Bacterial small subunit ribosomal RNA
Source: RNAcentral
CACGUAGGGCGCAAGCGUUGUCCGGAAUUAUUGGGCGUAAAGAGCUCGUAGGCGGUCUGUUGCGUCCGCUGUGAAAACUCGGGGCUUAACCCCGAGCCUGCAGUGGAUACGGGCAGACUAGAGGUAGGUAGGGGAGAAUGGAAUUCCCGGUGUAGCGGUGAAAUGCGCAGAUAUCGGGAGGAACACCGGUGGCGAAGGCGGGUCUCUGGACCGAUACUGACGCUGAGGAGCGAAAGCGUGGGGAGCGAACAGG